Molecule: ribosomal RNA, 247 nt
Filed under: uncultured bacterium
Lineage: Bacteria
Description: partial 16S ribosomal RNA
Rfam family: Bacterial small subunit ribosomal RNA
Source: RNAcentral
AUACGUAGGUGGCGAGCGUUGUCCGGAAUUACUGGGUGUAAAGGGCGUGUAGGCGGGAAUGUAAGUCAGAUGUGAAAUACCGUGGCUUAACCACGGGGCUGCAUCUGAAACUAUGUUUCUUGAGUGUCGGAGAGGAAAGUGGAAUUCCCAGUGUAGCGGCGAAAUGCAUAGAUAUUAGGAGGAACACCAGUGGCGAAGGCGACUUACUGGACUGUAACUGACGCUGAGGCUCGAAAGCGUGGGGAGC